Molecule: ribosomal RNA, 497 nt
Filed under: uncultured bacterium
Lineage: Bacteria
Description: partial 16S ribosomal RNA
Rfam family: Bacterial small subunit ribosomal RNA
Source: RNAcentral
GAUGAACGCUGGCGGCGUGCCUAAUACAUGCAAGUCGAGCGAACAGACGAGGAGCUUGCUCCUCUGACGUUAGCGGCGGACGGGUGAGUAACACGUGGAUAACCUACCUAUAAGACUGGGAUAACUUCGGGAAACCGGAGCUAAUACCGGAUAAUAUAUUGAACCGCAUGGUUCAAUAGUGAAAGACGGGUUUGCUGUCACUUAUAGAUGGAUCCGCGCCGCAUUAGCUAGUUGGUAAGGUAACGGCUUACCAAGGGAACGAUGCGUAGCCGACGUGAGAGGGUGAUCGGCCACACUGGAACUGAGACACGGUCCAGACUCCUACGGGAGGCAGCAGUAGGGAAUCUUCCGCAAUGGGCGAAAGCCUGACGGAGCAACGCCGCGUGAGUGAUGAAGGUCUUCGGAUCGUAAAACUCUGUUAUUAGGGAAGAACAAAUGUGUAAGUAACUAUGCACGUCUUGACGGUACCUAAUCAGAAAGCCACGGCUAACUACGUG